AUCGCUUCUCGGCCUUUUGGCUAAGAUCAAGUGUAGAACUAGCUGAAAUCUUAGUCAUUUCUUCAUUUGAUAAAUUAGGGAAUAGGCCCAGAGAAAUGGAGACGAAUUCUGAAGGUUACUCAGGGCCAGAACUAGGAAAAAUACAUUUCCUCUAUGCUAGUAUGCUCUC
RNAcentral lists this small nuclear RNA (169 nucleotides) under Ursus thibetanus thibetanus. RNAcentral's name for it is "U2 spliceosomal RNA (ENSUTTG00000004433.1)". It matches the Rfam family "U2 spliceosomal RNA". Rfam says of the family: U2 is a small nuclear RNA (snRNA) component of the spliceosome (involved in pre-mRNA splicing). Complementary binding between U2 snRNA (in an area lying towards the 5' end but 3' to hairpin I) and the branchpoint sequence (BPS) of the intron results the bulging out of an unpaired adenosine, on the BPS, which initiates a nucleophilic attack at the intronic 5' splice site, thus starting the first of two transesterification reactions that mediate splicing. The record is from RNAcentral. Lineage: Eukaryota; Metazoa; Chordata; Mammalia; Carnivora; Ursidae.